Molecule: transfer RNA, 66 nt
Filed under: Succinea putris (European ambersnail)
Lineage: Eukaryota; Metazoa; Mollusca; Gastropoda; Stylommatophora; Succineidae
Description: tRNA-Tyr
Source: RNAcentral
UUUUUGAUGACAGAUUUAAUUGUAAUAGAUUGUAAAUCUUUUUAUAAGGGAACCCCUUUCUUUUAU